This 430-nucleotide ribosomal RNA is filed under the name Pseudomonadota bacterium. Its description in RNAcentral is "Proteobacteria bacterium partial 16S ribosomal RNA". It matches the Rfam family "Bacterial small subunit ribosomal RNA", at positions 355 to 776 of the family's 1533-position model. The record is from RNAcentral. Lineage: Bacteria; Pseudomonadati; Pseudomonadota.
UGGGGAAUAUUGGACAAUGGGGGGAACCCUGAUCCAGCCAUGCCGCGUGUGUGAAGAAGGCCUUAUGGUUGUAAAGCACUUUAAGCGAGGAGGAGGGUACUGGUAUUAAUACUACCAGCUACUGGACGUUACUCGCAGAAUCAGCACCGGCUAACUCUGUGCCAGCAGCCGCGGUAAUACAGAGGGUGCGAGCGUUAAUCGGAUUUACUGGGCGUAAAGCGUGCGUAGGCGGCUAAUUGAGUCGGAUGUGAAAUCCCCGAGCUUAACUUGGGAAUUGCAUUCGAUACGGGUUAGCUAGGGUGUGGGAGAGGAUGGUAGAAUUCCAGGUGUAGCGGUGAAAUGCGUAGAGAUCUGGAGGAAUACCGAUGGCGAAGGCAGCCAUCUGGGCUAACACUGACGCUGAGGUACGAAAGCAUGGGGAGCAAACAGG